AUGGAUUUACAGAGGGUUGAUGCUGGUAGUUUAUCUACAUGUGCCCACUCUUCUGAUUUAUUUACACCUGUGCACUUGAUUUUUUUCAAGGGUCAGGGUAGAACCUGCCUUUGGGACUUAUAAGCCCCUAACCCCUAUAUUGGAACAAUGGAUGUUUAUCUGCCGCAAGGCAAAAUUUUUAAUA
Molecule: unclassified non-coding RNA, 184 nt
Filed under: uncultured Hydnum
Lineage: Eukaryota; Fungi; Basidiomycota; Agaricomycetes; Cantharellales; Hydnaceae
Description: sequence contains ITS1
Source: RNAcentral